GAAAAUGAAUCAAUUAGUCUCAAGUCUGAUUUAGUCAUAAUUCAAGUCAAUCAUUUUUUGACUAGUUUCAAUCAUGUUUCGAUUUUGACCAGGUCCCUAACUAUGUCUGCUAGCACAUACGUGAAAAUGUGAUCAAAUGGUCCAAAUAGCUAGCCCUACCCACUAAAAGCUUUUUUAGAAUUGCCAUUAGAAUUACAAUUAAAAAUAAUAUUUACUAGAUAAAU
Molecule: unclassified non-coding RNA, 224 nt
Filed under: Hevea brasiliensis (rubber tree)
Lineage: Eukaryota; Viridiplantae; Streptophyta; Magnoliopsida; Malpighiales; Euphorbiaceae
Source: RNAcentral